RNAcentral lists this ribosomal RNA (506 nucleotides) under uncultured bacterium. RNAcentral's name for it is "partial 16S ribosomal RNA". It matches the Rfam family "Bacterial small subunit ribosomal RNA", at positions 28 to 523 of the family's 1533-position model. The record is from RNAcentral.
GAUGAACGCUAGCUACGGGCUUAACACAUGCAAGUCGAGGGGUAACAAGAGGAAAGCUUGCUUUUCUUGUUGACGACCGGCGCACGGGUGAGUAACGCGUAUCCAACCUGCCUAUAACUAGGGAAUAACCUUGCGAAAGUAAGACUAAUACCCUAUGAUUUCCUUUGAUGACAUCAGAUUAGGAAUAAAGAUUUAUCGGUUAUAGAUGGGGAUGCGUCUGAUUAGCUUGUUGGCGGGGUAACGGCCCACCAAGGCAACGAUCAGUAGGGGUUCUGAGAGGAGGGUCCCCCACAUUGGAACUGAGACACGGUCCAAACUCCUACGGGAUGCAGCAGUGAGGAAUAUUGGUCAAUGGGCGGAAGCCUGAACCAGCCAAGUAGCGUGCAGGAUGACGGCCCUAUGGGUUGUAAACUGCUUUUAUACAGGAAUAAAGUUAGCCACGUGUGGUUAUUUGUAGGUACUGUAUGAAUAAGGACCGGCUAAUUCCGUGCCAGCCGCCGCAGUAA